AAAAUAGCAUUUUAGCCGCAGCUUGCAGGAGACUAUAGGAACACAAGGCAGUAGUAGAUGGAAGGUUUUUAAUUUUCUUGCUUUUAUUCCAAACAAAGCUGGAAGGAAGUCUGUGCGUGAUCAAUCUUUCUUGCCAAAUGGUUUGACAGCUUCUGGCCCUAAAGAUCACAUUUAAAGCUUCUUGUUUCUUCCAAGAUCAAAUGUUACUGGGAAAGAGGUUUCAGGGAGAAAUGCAGCUAAAGAAGAGCUAGUAAAACUUCUCCUUGCUUGUUUUCUUGGGAUAUAUCCACAUGGCAGCCACCCACAGAAAUGUCCAUUACCAGGGAAAAGUGUAGGAGUGAAAUGUGCAGUUUCUUACAAUGAGCACCACCAGAAGAGGCAGAGGGAAGAAAUCAUUCCUUGUGAACAGAUGCCUGGGAGCUGAUGCUGCAGAUUGGAGCACAACAUGGCGUAAGAAGCCCAUCAGCACAAAGCUAUUACCUACCGGACCUCCAUUAUCGGCCAUCUUAUCAAUCAACUCUCCCUCUCUCUCAGCUACAAAAGAAGCUGCUGUUUCCUUCCCUACCUUCAAAUGCUGCUGCAGUGACUUGACAAGACCUUACCAUGGUUGGAACUGCUUGUAUUAAAUAUAUAUAUAUAUAUAUAUAUAUAUAUAUAUAUAUAUAUAUAUAUAUAUAUAUAAACCCUUUCAUGCGUGUAUUUAUGUAUAUAAAGGAAUAUGCAAAUGCUGAUAUUUUAUCUACCAUUUUAUUGCAUCUUUAAAGAGAAUUAUUCUUUUUACCAUCGUUGCCUGUGCCAUUAU
Molecule: long non-coding RNA, 802 nt
Organism: Bufo gargarizans (Asiatic toad)
Lineage: Eukaryota; Metazoa; Chordata; Amphibia; Anura; Bufonidae
Exons: 2
Source: RefSeq, a predicted model, not a curated record